RNAcentral lists this ribosomal RNA (1393 nucleotides) under Escherichia coli. Its description in RNAcentral is "partial 23S ribosomal RNA". It matches the Rfam family "Bacterial large subunit ribosomal RNA", at positions 1573 to 2925 of the family's 2925-position model. Lineage: Bacteria; Pseudomonadati; Pseudomonadota; Gammaproteobacteria; Enterobacterales; Enterobacteriaceae. The record is from RNAcentral.
GGCACUACGGUGCUGAAGCAACAAAUGCCCUGCUUCCAGGAAAAGCCUCUAAGCAUCAGGUAACAUCAAAUCGUACCCCAAACCGACACAGGUGGUCAGGUAGAGAAUACCAAGGCGCUUGAGAGAACUCGGGUGAAGGAACUAGGCAAAAUGGUGCCGUAACUUCGGGAGAAGGCACGCUGAUAUGUAGGUGAAGUCCCUCGCGGAUGGAGCUGAAAUCAGUCGAAGAUACCAGCUGGCUGCAACUGUUUAUUAAAAACACAGCACUGUGCAAACACGAAAGUGGACGUAUACGGUGUGACGCCUGCCCGGUGCCGGAAGGUUAAUUGAUGGGGUUAGCGCAAGCGAAGCUCUUGAUCGAAGCCCCGGUAAACGGCGGCCGUAACUAUAACGGUCCUAAGGUAGCGAAAUUCCUUGUCGGGUAAGUUCCGACCUGCACGAAUGGCGUAAUGAUGGCCAGGCUGUCUCCACCCGAGACUCAGUGAAAUUGAACUCGCUGUGAAGAUGCAGUGUACCCGCGGCAAGACGGAAAGACCCCGUGAACCUUUACUAUAGCUUGACACUGAACAUUGAGCCUUGAUGUGUAGGAUAGGUGGGAGGCUUUGAAGUGUGGACGCCAGUCUGCAUGGAGCCGACCUUGAAAUACCACCCUUUAAUGUUUGAUGUUCUAACGUUGACCCGUAAUCCGGGUUGCGGACAGUGUCUGGUGGGUAGUUUGACUGGGGCGGUCUCCUCCUAAAGAGUAACGGAGGAGCACGAAGGUUGGCUAAUCCUGGUCGGACAUCAGGAGGUUAGUGCAAUGGCAUAAGCCAGCUUGACUGCGAGCGUGACGGCGCGAGCAGGUGCGAAAGCAGGUCAUAGUGAUCCGGUGGUUCUGAAUGGAAGGGCCAUCGCUCAACGGAUAAAAGGUACUCCGGGGAUAACAGGCUGAUACCGCCCAAGAGUUCAUAUCGACGGCGGUGUUUGGCACCUCGAUGUCGGCUCAUCACAUCCUGGGGCUGAAGUAGGUCCCAAGGGUAUGGCUGUUCGCCAUUUAAAGUGGUACGCGAGCUGGGUUUAGAACGUCGUGAGACAGUUCGGUCCCUAUCUGCCGUGGGCGCUGGAGAACUGAGGGGGGCUGCUCCUAGUACGAGAGGACCGGAGUGGACGCAUCACUGGUGUUCGGGUUGUCAUGCCAAUGGCACUGCCCGGUAGCUAAAUGCGGAAGAGAUAAGUGCUGAAAGCAUCUAAGCACGAAACUUGCCCCGAGAUGAGUUCUCCCUGACUCCUUGAGAGUCCUGAAGGAACGUUGAAGACGACGACGUUGAUAGGCCGGGUGUGUAAGCGCAGCGAUGCGUUGAGCUAACCGGUACUAAUGAACCGUGAGGCUUAACCUUACAACGCCGAAGCUGUU